CCUCCCUUUCCUUCUAACAUGAGCUGCCUCUCCUGACCUCAGAUGGCCUUGAUGCCUGACUGCUGUGUCCUGCUGGAGGAAUGAGGGCUGUAGGGUUCUUUCCUGUGUCAGGAGGCUUCCUUGCAGCAUGUGCUGAUCAGUUCCCAUCUGAUCCACCAGCUGUACAGAGAGGUCCAGGAGGCAAGGCGCUGAGACUAUCUGUCUACAGCUCUGUGAGUGAGCCACCAUGGAUGUGGGUUCUCCUGCUCAGUCAAGCCUCCAUGACCACAGUCCCAGCUGCACCUUGACCACCAGCCUGUGAGAGACCCUGAGUCAGAAACUCCACACCCAACUGAGCCACUCCCAAUCCCUGCCCUCAGAUGUUGUGUGAGAUAAUACAUGCUUGGAGUGCUAAGCCACUAGGUUUGGGGUAAUCUGUUUUGUAGCAGGAGAUAACCAGCACUUAUGCUAAUGUGUGCCCACCUGUACACCUAUGCACACAUGCUCCCUCCAUCCACACUUUCCAC
Molecule: long non-coding RNA, 506 nt
Organism: Pan paniscus (pygmy chimpanzee)
Lineage: Eukaryota; Metazoa; Chordata; Mammalia; Primates; Hominidae
Source: Ensembl